Molecule: long non-coding RNA, 836 nt
Filed under: Amborella trichopoda
Lineage: Eukaryota; Viridiplantae; Streptophyta; Magnoliopsida; Amborellales; Amborellaceae
Description: long non-coding RNA (ATRI_LNC005467)
Source: RNAcentral
GUUUACAAAAACAAUUUCUGAAAUUUUUUGACACCACAUACCAUCAGAUUUCUCAUCCAAUGGUUUUGUUUAUGACCUAUUUGUCCCACAUAUAAAUGGACAUGUAAUAUAUGAUCCCUAAGGUUUCUAAUUUUAUAUGGAAGGGUUUAAAUGCAACACAAAUUAUCAUUCUACUAAUAAGUGCUUUCAAUUUAGCCAUAAAGUACAUUUCCUUUGGAGAGAGAAGAUGCACUUUACUUUAAUAUUAGCCACUAAUUACAUUUCCUUUGGAGAGAAGAGACAUGGUACUUAUACCUUAAUAAGAUCUAUGGUAAAACACCCAUUGUCCCAGACAGGAAAUGCAGGGCAAAUUUGUGAACAAGUCAACCAUCAUAAAAAUGUUGGCAAAUGCGUGAGGAAGCCAUCAUCUUCUUACAGGCUCGCAGAAGCUUGGUCCCGGAGACACAGAUGCAAAAUUUGCAUAUGAAGAGAGAUAUAUUUAAAUAGAAAAUUAUCUAACACCACAUGGAAGGGGAUUAGCUCCUUCAAGAUGCGUAGAGAGAGAGAGAAGUGAAUAUCUUAGGGCGCACUCGCCUUGGUGGUCGCAACCGCCUCGGUGAUAUUGAAAUCCGCCUUGGUGGUCGCACUCACCUCGGUGAUAUUGAAAUCAGGGAAAAUAGGUAAAUGAGGUGAUACUUCCUCUGGUGAGGUAAAGCAACUCCACAUGCAAUGAAUGGUGGAUCCGCCUUUAGAUAAACAUUUCUCAUAGCACAUUCUCAGUGCCGGUCCUUCUAAAGCCUUUGCACCAUAAGCAAGAACCACCACCAGCACCACCAACACCAGUGUGACCGAUANNN